RNAcentral lists this ribosomal RNA (1522 nucleotides) under metagenome. Its description in RNAcentral is "bacterial SSU rRNA". It matches the Rfam family "Bacterial small subunit ribosomal RNA". The record is from RNAcentral.
AGAGCUUGAUCAUGGCUCAGAUUGAACGCUGGCGGCAGGCCUAACACAUGCAAGUCGAACGGUAACAGGAAACAGCUUGCUGUUUCGCUGACGAGUGGCGGACGGGUGAGUAAUGUCUGAGAAACUGCCUGAUGGAGGGGGAUAACUACUGGAAACGGUAGCUAAUACCGCAUAACGUCGCAAGACCAAAGAGGGGGACCUUCGGGCCUCUUGCCAUCAGAUGUGCCCAGAUGGGAUUAGCUAGUAGGUGGGGUAACGGCUCACCUAGGCGACGAUCCCUAGCUGGUCUGAGAGGAUGACCAGCCACACUGGAACUGAGACACGGUCCAGACUCCUACGGGAGGCAGCAGUGGGGAAUAUUGCACAAUGGGCGCAAGCCUGAUGCAGCCAUGCCGCGUGUAUGAAGAAGGCCUUCGGGUUGUAAAGUACUUUCAGCGGGGAGGAAGGGAGUAAAGUUAAUACCUUUGCUCAUUGACGUUACCCGCAGAAGAAGCACCGGCUAACUCCGUGCCAGCAGCCGCGGUAAUACGGAGGGUGCAAGCGUUAAUCGGAAUUACUGGGCGUAAAGCGCACGCAGGCGGUUUGUUAAGUCAGAUGUGAAAUCCCCGGGCUCAACCUGGGAACUGCAUCUGAUACUGGCAAGCUUGAGUCUCGUAGAGGGGGGUAGAAUUCCAGGUGUAGCGGUGAAAUGCGUAGAGAUCUGGAGAAAUACCGGUGGCGAAGGCGGCCCCCUGGACGAAGACUGACGCUCAGGUGCGAAAGCGUGGGGAGCAAACAGGAUUAGAUACCCUGGUAGUCCACGCCGUAAACGAUGUCGACUUGGAGGUUGUGCCCUUGAGGCGUGGCUUCCGGAGCUAACGCGUUAAGUCGACCGCCUGGGGAGUACGGCCGCAAGGUUAAAACUCAAAUGAAUUGACGGGGGCCCGCACAAGCGGUGGAGCAUGUGGUUUAAUUCGAUGCAACGCGAAGAACCUUACCUGGUCUUGACAUCCACGGAAGUUUUCAGAGAUGAGAAUGUGCCUUCGGGAACCGUGAGACAGGUGCUGCAUGGCUGUCGUCAGCUCGUGUUGUGAAAUGUUGGGUUAAGUCCCGCAACGAGCGCAACCCUUAUCCUUUGUUGCCAGCGGUCCGGCCGGGAACUCAAAGGAGACUGCCAGUGAUAAACUGGAGGAAGGUGGGGAUGACGUCAAGUCAUCAUGGCCCUUACGACCAGGGCUACACACGUGCUACAAUGGCGCAUACAAAGAGAAGCGACCUCACGAGAGCAAGCGGACCUCAUAAAGUGCGUCGUAGUCCGGAUUGGAGUCUGCAACUCGACUCCAUGAAGUCGGAAUCGCUAGUAAUCGUGGAUCAGAAUGCCACGGUGAAUACGUUCCCGGGCCUUGUACACACCGCCCGUCACACCAUGGGAGUGGGUUGCAAAAGAAGCAGGUAGCUUAACCUUCGGGAGGGCGCUUACCACUUUGUGAUUCAUGACUGGGGUGAAGUCGGAACAAGGUAACCGUAGGGGAACCUGCGGUUG